CACACACACACGCACACACACAUUGACUUAAAAUCUGUUGGAGACCUAAAUUUAAAAGCUUUUACAGUGUGCAUUGCAUACAGGUAAUAUCAUGAGAUCUAGCAACACUGAAUGAAAUCAGAAUAAAAAGUGCCAUAUUCUUAUGACAGCAAUAUUAAACUGAAAAACAGAAACAAAAUUUAACUUCAGGAAAAAAUAAAUAAGAAAGGAAAUAGCCACAUAGAACAGCAGAGAACAGUGAAAAUAAAAAUUCAUCUGAGAAAAAUUGUGUUUUUUGCCAGACAAACACAUGCUUCAUUGGUUUCUUUUGAGUUUACCGUAUUGUUUCAUAGGAGCAUUCUCAAAUGUAGUGACUAAUCCACAUUUUCUUGCUCUUUCAUAGUUAUUAACCAAUUCUCCGAUGCAAGCUUUAUAAUUUUUGUGCUGCUGUUUUUGCUUGUUAUACGAAUAUUAAAAUUUGAUAGUUUAAGCAUCAUGUAAGUUCUCUGAUAAUAACACAACUGCAUGCUGCUAAUCGCUGAGUUCUGCAAAUUGUUUUGUAAUGUAAAAGAGAAAUAUGACAAAAAAAAUAAAAUAAAAUGACCAACAGAUGUACACUAGUUGAUGGAGGACCGACCAAUGGCUGCAUGCGCUUCUUUCCAAUAGGGUACUGAUAUGGGUUUGGUGUUUGCAUAGUGAAUGCAGUAAACCACAGGAUGAAGCCAGAUAGAAGAUCAAGUAGAGAGUCCAGUGUGGACGCAAUAAUGGCUAAUGAACCACUUCUGAUGGAUGCAUAAACCUUAGCAGCAAAAAGAACCAUAUUAGCGAAAUUCGAUACUCUGAUAGCAAAGUUCUCACUCCUAGCCAAAUCCUCCUGCUCUUCCUUUGACAUUCCAGGAAUAAAGCCACGCUCUGCUAAGGCAUCCAUUUCAUUAAAACCCUCAAGCAUUUCCACCUGCUGCUGAUAGUAAUCAGCAACAUCAUCUUCUGGACCUAAAACACCAAGGCAAUCAUGGCGGCCAUGAGGCGGCUUUUUCUCUUUGUGCUCCGCAGAUAGGUGAUAUCCCUCGAAGUUUAACCGCCAUGACUGAUCACCAUUGCUGUUGAGGGGCAACAGUGAAAGCUCCUCAUCGUUCUCGUGGUUCACCGGCUCCACCAUUCUCGGGUCACUCACUAGACGCCCCCGGAUUCAAGAAGCUCUAUAGUGCAAGUGUGUUUUUAAUAUAAUAAAGUGUUCUUGGUGAAAAUAGGGGGCAGAGUCUAGAAAUUUAACAUCCAGAGAAGGGUAUUUUGGAGAUAUCAAUAUGCACGUCGUGGUUGGUAAGACGCUGGUGCAUUUUUC
RNAcentral lists this unclassified non-coding RNA (1321 nucleotides) under Hevea brasiliensis (rubber tree). The record is from RNAcentral. Lineage: Eukaryota; Viridiplantae; Streptophyta; Magnoliopsida; Malpighiales; Euphorbiaceae.